CUAGCUGUAAACGAUGGAUACUAGGCGUUGAGAGUAUCGACCCUCUCAGUGUCGUAGCUAACGCGUUAAGUAUCCCGCCUGGGGAGUACGCGCGCAAGCGUGAAACUCAAAGGAAUUGACGGGGGCCCGCACAAGCGGUGGAGUAUGUGGUUUAAUUCGAUGCAACGCGAAGAACCUUACCAGGGCUUGACAUGUCCGGAACCCUGCCCAAAGGCGGGGGUGCCUACGGGAGCCGAAACACAGGUGGUGC
This 250-nucleotide ribosomal RNA is filed under the name uncultured Chroococcidiopsis sp. Its description in RNAcentral is "partial 16S ribosomal RNA". It matches the Rfam family "Bacterial small subunit ribosomal RNA", at positions 796 to 1044 of the family's 1533-position model. Lineage: Bacteria; Bacillati; Cyanobacteriota; Cyanophyceae; Chroococcidiopsidales; Chroococcidiopsidaceae. The record is from RNAcentral.